RNAcentral lists this long non-coding RNA (412 nucleotides) under Vigna radiata. RNAcentral's name for it is "long non-coding RNA (VRAD_LNC015601)". The record is from RNAcentral. Lineage: Eukaryota; Viridiplantae; Streptophyta; Magnoliopsida; Fabales; Fabaceae.
UUCGAAUUAAUAUGAUAACAAUGAUGUUACGUUAAAAAAAUGUAGAUGAAUGAACUUUGAAAAGGAGUUGAGAGUUGAAAGAGCAAAGUAGUCACAAACCGUGAAAAGAUAGAGGGGCUUGGGGGAACUAUGAGGACGAGGGCAAAAGAGAAAUUAGGGAUUGAAGAGGGAAUGGGAAAGGGAAAAAAUUGGUUCUUGAGUGAAAUUUAGGUGUACUGAAGGAAGUGAAACUGGAAAUUUUGGAAAAAAAAGGGAGAAAAUUUUGGAAAAUCUAAGGGUAAAAAGAAGUUUGAAGGACAAACCUAAAAAAACGUUAUAUAUGGUAAUAGAAUAGAUAGCGUUUUUUUUUUUAAAAGUGUUAUCUAUUGAUUUAUUUUAAAUUAUAAAUUAAAAAAAUUAUAUUAAUUAUCUA